GACGAACGCUGGCGGCGUGCCUAAUACAUGCAAGUCGAACGCAGUGGGGACGGGUGAGUAACACGUGGGUAACCUCCCAUCAGAGGGGAUAACACUUGGAAACAGGUGCUAAACCGAUACUGAUGGAUGGACCCGCGGUGCAUUAGCUAGUUGGUGGGGUAACGGCUCCCCAAGGCCACGAUGCAUAGCCGGCCUGAUAGGGUGAUCGGACACACUGGAACUGAGAAACGGUCCAGACGCCUACGAGAGGCAGCAGUGGGGAAUAUUGCACAAUGGGCGCAAGCCUGAUGCAGCCAUGCCGCGUGUAUGAAGAAGGCCUUCGGGUUGUAAAGUACUUUCAGCGGGGAGGCGUUACCCGCAGAAGAAGCACCGGCUAACUCCGUGCCAGCCGCCGCGGUAAUAC
RNAcentral lists this ribosomal RNA (403 nucleotides) under uncultured bacterium. RNAcentral describes it as "partial 16S ribosomal RNA". It matches the Rfam family "Bacterial small subunit ribosomal RNA", at positions 28 to 526 of the family's 1533-position model. The record is from RNAcentral.